AGUGAACGCUGGCGGUAGGCCUAACACAUGCAAGUCGAACGGCAGCACAGUAAGAGCUUGCUCUUACGGGUGGCGAGUGGCGGACGGGUGAGGAAUACAUCGGAAUCUACUUUUUCGUGGGGGAUAACGUAGGGAAACUUACGCUAAUACCGCAUACGACCUACGGGUGAAAGCAGGGGAUCUUCGGACCUUGCGCGAUUGAAUGAGCCGAUGUCGGAUUAGCUAGUUGGCGGGGUAAAGGCCCACCAAGGCGACGAUCCGUAGCUGGUCUGAGAGGAUGAUCAGCCACACUGGAACUGAGACACGGUCCAGACUCCUAAGGGAGGCAGCAGUGGGGAAUAUUGGACAAUGGGCGCAAGCCUGAUCCAGCCAUACCGCGUGGGUGAAGAAGGACUUCGGGUUGUAAAGCCCUUUUGUUGGGAAAGAAAAGCAGCAGGUUAAUACCCCGCUGUUAUGACGGUACCCAAAGAAUAAGCACCGGCUAACUUCGUG
Molecule: ribosomal RNA, 492 nt
Filed under: uncultured bacterium
Lineage: Bacteria
Description: partial 16S ribosomal RNA
Rfam family: Bacterial small subunit ribosomal RNA
Source: RNAcentral